UACGUAGGGUGCGAGCGUUGUCCGGAAUUAUUGGGCGUAAAGAGCGUGUAGGCGGCUUUACAGGUCCGUUGUGAAAACUCGAGGCUCAACCUCGAGACGCCGGUGGAAACCGUAAAGCUAGAGUCCGGAAGAGGAGAGUGGAAUUCCUGGUGUAGCGGUGAAAUGCGCAGAUAUCAGGAAGAACACCCGUGGCGAAGGCGGCUCUCUGGGACGGUACUGACGCUGAGACGCGAAAGCGUGGGGAGCGAACAGG
Molecule: ribosomal RNA, 253 nt
Filed under: uncultured bacterium
Lineage: Bacteria
Description: partial 16S ribosomal RNA
Rfam family: Bacterial small subunit ribosomal RNA
Source: RNAcentral